AAUGGCCGAAAGGCUGACGCAGCGACGCCGCGUGGAGGAUGACGCCCUUCGGGGUGUAAACUCCUGUUGCCCGGGACGAAUGCCUGUUUCGACAGGAGUGACGGUACCGGGUGAGGAAGCACCGGCUAACUCUGUGCCAGCAGCCGCGGUAAUACAGAGGGUGCGAGCGUUGUCCGGAAUCACUGGGCGUAAAGGGCGCGUAGGCGGUCGGGUAAGCGUGUGGUGAAAGUCCGGGGCUCAACCCCGGAUCGGCCAUGCGAACUGUCCGACUGGAGCACGGUAGAGGCACAUGGAAUUCCGGGUGUAGCGGUGGAAUGCGUAGAGAUCCGGAAGAACACCGGUGGCGAAGGCGGUGUGCUGGGCCGUAGCUGACGCUGAGGCGCGACUGCGUGGGGAGCAAA
RNAcentral lists this ribosomal RNA (401 nucleotides) under uncultured bacterium. RNAcentral's name for it is "bacterial SSU rRNA". It matches the Rfam family "Bacterial small subunit ribosomal RNA", at positions 370 to 772 of the family's 1533-position model. The record is from RNAcentral.